CAGAACAAACCUUACCAGUGGCUUUACAGGAAGAGCAAGAAAGGUGUGAAAGAAGUGAAAAGAAGCAACCACAGGUCAAAGAAGGAAAUAAUACAAAUAAAAGUGAAAAAAUACAACUAUCAGAAAAUGUAUGUCAUAGUACAUCUUCUGCUGCUGCUGACAGAUUAACCAAACAAAGAAAGAUUGGGAAAAUGUAUCCUCAGCAAUUUCCCAAGAAACUGAAGGAAGAGCACGAUAGAUGCAUCUUAAGACAAGAAAAUGAAGAAAAAACAAAUGUUAAUAUGCUGUACAAAAAUAGAGAAG
Molecule: long non-coding RNA, 303 nt
Filed under: Homo sapiens (human)
Lineage: Eukaryota; Metazoa; Chordata; Mammalia; Primates; Hominidae
Description: PREDICTED lncRNA (TCONS_00260498)
Source: RNAcentral